This 439-nucleotide long non-coding RNA is filed under the name Vigna radiata. RNAcentral's name for it is "long non-coding RNA (VRAD_LNC015929)". The record is from RNAcentral. Lineage: Eukaryota; Viridiplantae; Streptophyta; Magnoliopsida; Fabales; Fabaceae.
UUAGGCCUUAAUUUUCAUGUAAACCAAUCGCAUAAGACUUGAGAAGAAAUUAAUUUUGGGUUUUGAAUGCAAAAAUAAAAGUAAACAUGCAAAUGCAGUGAAUCAAUUGGCUAAAGAAACUAUGAAUGAAUGAAGUUGUUGGGGUUUACAAUUUCAUCUUAUCCACCCUCUUAUAUCUACUUUUCUUAUCUUAUUCGCUUAUUUAUCAAAUUGUCAUGCAAACUUUCUUGGUCUACCCUUAACCUAAUUCCUUAGCGAAAAGAGCCUAUUACUAAUUACCGACUUGCUAUCAAUAGCCUCCCCUAGCAAUUAAUAAUGCAUGAUAAACAGAAGUAAAAUACAAUUGAUCGUCCUACCCCUAUUCCUAGGCGGUAUUAGCAUAAUCAAGGAAUUCCCCCCAGUUCAUGACAUUACUAUACGUUCCCGUAUCAAUAAAGAC